RNAcentral lists this unclassified non-coding RNA (1870 nucleotides) under Nostocaceae cyanobacterium HA4193-MV3. RNAcentral's name for it is "bacterial SSU rRNA". The stretch from base 1 to 1164 matches the Rfam family "Bacterial small subunit ribosomal RNA", at positions 356 to 1533 of the family's 1533-position model. Lineage: Bacteria; Bacillati; Cyanobacteriota; Cyanophyceae; Nostocales; Nostocaceae. The record is from RNAcentral.
GGGGAAUUUUCCGCAAUGGGCGAAAGCCUGACGGAGCAAUACCGCGUGAGGGAGGAAGGCUCUUGGGUCGUAAACCUCUUUUCUCAGGGAAGAAAAAAAUGACGGUACCUGAGGAAUCAGCAUCGGCUAACUCCGUGCCAGCAGCCGCGGUAAUACGGAGGAUGCAAGCGUUAUCCGGAAUGAUUGGGCGUAAAGCGUCCGCAGGUGGCUGUGUAAGUCUGCUGUUAAAGAGUGAGGCUCAACCUCAUAAAAGCAGUGGAAACUACACGGCUAGAGUGCGUUCGGGGCAGAGGGAAUUCCUGGUGUAGCGGUGAAAUGCGUAGAGAUCAGGAAGAACACCGGUGGCGAAAGCGCUCUGCUAGGCCGCAACUGACACUGAGGGACGAAAGCUAGGGGAGCGAAUGGGAUUAGAUACCCCAGUAGUCCUAGCCGUAAACGAUGGAUACUAGGCGUGGCUUGUAUCGACCCGAGCCGUGCCGGAGCUAACGCGUUAAGUAUCCCGCCUGGGGAGUACGCACGCAAGUGUGAAACUCAAAGGAAUUGACGGGGGCCCGCACAAGCGGUGGAGUAUGUGGUUUAAUUCGAUGCAACGCGAAGAACCUUACCAAGACUUGACAUGUGGCGAACCCUGAUGAAAGUUAGGGGUGCCUUCGGGAGCGCCAACACAGGUGGUGCAUGGCUGUCGUCAGCUCGUGUCGUGAGAUGUUGGGUUAAGUCCCGCAACGAGCGCAACCCUCGUUUUUAGUUGCCAGCAUUAAGUUGGGCACUCUAGAGAGACUGCCGGUGACAAACCGGAGGAAGGUGGGGAUGACGCCAAGUCAGCAUGCCCCUUACGUUUUGGGCUACACACGUACUACAAUGCUCCGGACAGAGGGCAGCAAGCCGGCGACGGCAAGCAAAUCCCGUAAACCGGAGCUCAGUUCAGAUCGCAGGCUGCAACUCGCCUGCGUGAAGGAGGAAUCGCUAGUAAUUGCAGGUCAGCAUACUGCAGUGAAUUCGUUCCCGGGCCUUGUACACACCGCCCGUCACACCAUGGAAGCUGGCAACGCCCGAAGUCAUUACUCCAACCCUUCGGGGAGGAGGAUGCCUAAGGCAGUGCUGGUGACUGGGGUGAAGUCGUAACAAGGUAGCCGUACCGGAAGGUGUGGCUGGAUCACCUCCUUUUAGGGAGACCUACACCCCUCAAAUAUCGAAAACAAUCAGUAAAUAGAUAUAGAGAUGGUCAAGCCCUAGGUCGGUCGCAGAUAUUUGUUGAAUGCUUUCAAACUAUGAUUUGGUUCGUAAUUGGGCUAUUAGCUCAGGUGGUUAGAGCGCACCCCUGAUAAGGGUGAGGUCCCUGGUUCGAGUCCAGGAUGGCCCACCUGAAGGAGUGCUGAGUGCUGAGUGCUGAGUGCUGAGUAAAAAAAGCUUAGUAUUGAGUACAAAGAAUUCAGAACUACCACAGUGGGAGUAAAUUGAGAAAGCGCGUGUUAGAGAGUAAAAAACUCAGUACUCAGCACUCGGAACUCAGCACUGUUUAGGGGGGUUUAGCUCAGUUGGUAGAGCGCCUGCUUUGCAAGCAGGAUGUCAGCGGUUCGAGUCCGCUAACCUCCACCUGUGAAAGAAAAUUCAGCAACGUGACAUGUACAUAGAUGAUGUCAGACUGCUGGGUAAAACUCAGUCAGAACCUUGAAAACUGCAUAGUAACGCGAAGAUAGCAGGCAGACACAGACAGAGGGAGUGCUGAGUACUAAGUGCUGAGCGCUGAGUGAAAAAUUCAGUGCAAAGAACAAAGUAAGCGGAACUCAAAAGAAAGUGUUUGCGGGUUUUCAACCAAUGUAAAAGUGGUCAAGCGAAAAAGGGCUAAUGGUGGAUACCUAGGCACACAGAG